RNAcentral lists this long non-coding RNA (934 nucleotides) under Sorghum bicolor (sorghum). Its description in RNAcentral is "long non-coding RNA (SBIC_LNC010184)". Lineage: Eukaryota; Viridiplantae; Streptophyta; Magnoliopsida; Poales; Poaceae. The record is from RNAcentral.
AGAUUACAGAGCCCUUCUUGUCAUGCAGUUAAAAUCAAGAUCCACUUGCACGUUCACUCACACAUGCUACUUCUACUCUAGAAGUACGCAUCCACAUACAUCCACUCACUUCUAUCUCCAAAUUCACCUAAAAUUAUUCUACUCCUAUCAAGAAGAGAAUAGCCAAAAAUAUUUUCCUAUCUCUGUUAUUCCCUAUGAAAUAAAUGCUCCAGUUAUUUUAGUUACUACCACUUGCUACAAUAUUCCAGGAGGGUGAGUGCUCUAAAAAAAUGAUGAAUAUGAGGAAAUAAAAAGGGGCAAGUGCCCGGAACCUCAAAAAAGGAAAAAUACGAGGAAAUAAAAAGGGGCAAGUGCCUGGAACCUCAAAGAAAAGAAAAAGUGAGACGAGAGGUAAAAAUAGACAAGUGUCCGACAAUAGAAUUAUGGGUUCAAGAUACCCACCUGAGAGAAAAGAAAAAUAAAAUAUAGAGCAUCUCAUUCUCCUCAAAAAGCUUCAAAGUGGAAGAAACGUAUGUAUCCCCUUAAAAGAGCAAAAGUAGAAUUAGACUUUCACCAUUGUUAUCACCAUACACCAUUCAUUCGCCACACAUGCACAUCUUGAUUUGACUUAUUGACUUGUUUCUCUGGAUCCAUGGUUUGACUAUGCAAUAAAUGUCUUGUAAGUAUGUAUGCUUUAUCUCCCACCUAUGAGCUUCAGAUAUCAAAACCUUAUUAGAGUAGGGUGAGAGAGAAGGCAAUAUCACUAUGUCUCAUACCAAAAAUACCACAUACUUUGAGAGAAGGCAUAUACCAUUACUGCUGUGGAAAGGAUCCAGAAAUACCACAAAAGAGAGAUUAGAGAGAGUCAUACAAGGAAUCUCUGAGUUUUAUUUGAAAAUCUACAAAAACUCCAGAGCUAUAGUUAAUCAAAGAACAAGAGACAUGGUGCUUGACU